RNAcentral lists this ribosomal RNA (709 nucleotides) under uncultured Pseudomonas sp. RNAcentral's name for it is "bacterial SSU rRNA". It matches the Rfam family "Bacterial small subunit ribosomal RNA", at positions 28 to 733 of the family's 1533-position model. The record is from RNAcentral. Lineage: Bacteria; Pseudomonadati; Pseudomonadota; Gammaproteobacteria; Pseudomonadales; Pseudomonadaceae.
AUUGAACGCUGGCGGCAGGCCUAACACAUGCAAGUCGGGCGGUAGAGAGAAGCUUGCUUCUCUUGAGAGCGGCGGACGGGUGAGUAAUGCCUAGGAAUCUGCCUGGUAGUGGGGGAUAACGUUCGGAAACGGACGCUAAUACCGCAUACGUCCUACGGGAGAAAGCAGGGGACCUUCGGGCCUUGCGCUAUCAGAUGAGCCUAGGUCGGAUUAGCUAGUUGGUGAGGUAAUGGCUCACCAAGGCGACGAUCCGUAACUGGUCUGAGAGGAUGAUCAGUCACACUGGAACUGAGACACGGUCCAGACUCCUACGGGAGGCAGCAGUGGGGAAUAUUGGACGAUGGGCGAAAGCCUGAUCCAGCCAUGCCGCGUGUGUGAAGAGGGUCUUCGGAUUGUAAAGCACUUUAAGUUGGGAGGAAGGGUUGUAGAUUAAUACUCUGCAAUUUUGACGUUACCGACAGAAUAAGCACCGGCUAACUCUGUGCCAGCAGCCGCGGUAAUACAGAGGGUGCAAGCGUUAAUCGGAAUUACUGGGCGUAAAGCGCGCGUAGGUGGUUUGUUAAGUUGGAUGUGAAAUCCCCGGGCUCAACCUGGGAACUGCAUUCAAAACUGACUGACUAGAGUAUGGUAGAGGGGUGGUGGAAUUUCCUGUGUGUGGGGAAAAGACUAGAAAUGGGGAGGAACCCAUCGGCGAAGACGCCCCUCUGGC